CAGUGUUACAGCUCUUUUAGAAUUUGUCUGGCAGGCUUUCUAGUUUUUUUUUCCAGAAUGUCUCA
This is a small nuclear RNA of Rhinopithecus roxellana (golden snub-nosed monkey), 65 nucleotides long. RefSeq annotates it as U7 small nuclear RNA. NCBI's taxonomy places the organism in Eukaryota, Metazoa, Chordata, Mammalia, Primates, Cercopithecidae. The record is from RefSeq and is a predicted model, not a curated record. The transcript has a single exon.